This 413-nucleotide ribosomal RNA is filed under the name uncultured bacterium. RNAcentral's name for it is "bacterial SSU rRNA". It matches the Rfam family "Bacterial small subunit ribosomal RNA", at positions 505 to 916 of the family's 1533-position model. The record is from RNAcentral.
GUGCCAGCAGCCGCGGUAAUACGGAGGGUGCGAGCGUUAAUCGGAAUUACUGGGCGUAAAGGGCGCGUAGGCGGUCGCGCAAGUCGGGUGUGAAAGCCCCGGGCUCAACCUGGGAAUUGCAUUCGAUACUGCGUAACUAGAGUCUGGUAGAGGGAAGCGGAAUUCCGCAUGUAGCGGUGAAAUGCGUAGAUAUGCGGAGGAACACCAGUGGCGAAGGCGGCUUCCUGGACCAAGACUGACGCUGAGGCGCGAAAGCGUGGGGAGCAAACAGGAUUAGAUACCCUGGUAGUCCACGCCCUAAACGAUGAGGACUAGACGUUGGGGGGAUAAAACCCUUUAGUGUCGCAGCUAACGCGUGAAGUCCUCCGCCUGGGGAGUACGGCCGCAAGGUUGAAACUCAAAUGAAUUGGCGG